AGAACACAUGGAGAGAAGUGAUCAUCUCUUCGCAUCUUGUGGGUAGGCAAAAAUGGUUUGGUUGAUUUUUGGCCAGUGGUGCACAAGUCUUCUUCAGGAGUCUUAAUUCUUGUUGGUUGCUGGUCAGAUUCUUAAACAUGUUCAAGAUGUUGAGAACUUCCAUACGUCGUUGUUUAAAGUUUUGGGCCAAACAUCGUGACGUUUAUUCAAAUGUAUAAAAAACUACAGCCCAACCUUAUUUAGAUCGGAGUUUUGUUCGGAAAUUAAACAUUUGUUCGACGCCAAUGACGACGACAAGGUUUACAUGUGUGGCACUCAGAUCACAAGUUUUCCAUAUUGAUAUUUAUCUAUCUCCAGCAUGGCGAAUAUCUUUAUCGUUGCACCUGAAAGCUUGUCGAGUCUAUUUGAAGGCACACCAAGAAUACUGAAAGACGCCCAAAGGUUUAUUCAGCUUAUAAAAGUG
Long non-coding RNA from Helianthus annuus (common sunflower), 463 nucleotides. RefSeq lists it as uncharacterized. The transcript is spliced from 5 exons. The record is from RefSeq and is a predicted model, not a curated record. Lineage: Eukaryota; Viridiplantae; Streptophyta; Magnoliopsida; Asterales; Asteraceae.